UUCAUAUGAUGUUAUCAAUAUUCUAUAUUUGCUACUUCAGAGGGGCUAUCUACCCCAAUGAGACUUUUCAAUAUCACCAAGAUCUCUGAUGUA
RNAcentral lists this small nucleolar RNA (93 nucleotides) under Hanseniaspora osmophila. Its description in RNAcentral is "Small nucleolar RNA SNORD24". It matches the Rfam family "Small nucleolar RNA SNORD24". From Rfam's summary of the family: U24 is a member of the C/D class of snoRNA which contain the C (UGAUGA) and D (CUGA) box motifs. Lineage: Eukaryota; Fungi; Ascomycota; Saccharomycetes; Saccharomycodales; Saccharomycodaceae. The record is from Rfam by way of RNAcentral.